RNAcentral lists this long non-coding RNA (1027 nucleotides) under Lynx pardinus (Iberian lynx). Lineage: Eukaryota; Metazoa; Chordata; Mammalia; Carnivora; Felidae. The record is from RNAcentral.
GCUCUCCUCUCCUGCUAAGCUUUGUUUCCUGGCAGUAAUUAAAACCUUCUGCCACUGCCGUAGCUACAGCUGUUGUUGCUGGAACUGCCAUAGCCACCUUGGUUUUGUGGUUUGGCAAAGUACUAGCUUCUAUCACCAUAGGGACUAGAGCUUCUGCCUCUAAAUUUCCACCUUUCAUGGGUCCAAGAUUUUACGAUUGAUUGUCAUUGCCGAAAUCAUCAUAGCUUCGGCCACCUCCCAAAUUGCUUCCAUUGUUACCAAAUCUGCUACAGCCAGCUUCACUCCCACUAUAUCCACCACCAUCUCAACUGCCACCAAAGCCACCCCACCUACCGCAGUUUCCUCCCUGAUGAAAGUUGUCAUUCCCAUCAAAACCACAACCACUUCCAUGACGGCCACCGAAGUUUCCAGAACGACUUCUGAGAAGGAAGAAGUGCUUGUCAUCUCUUAACUAGGACUCUCCUUCACAGAUGUGGCCACAGUGGCAUUUUUGAAUGACGAUCUUGCCUGCGGAGUCACUGUCCUCAAGUUCUAAAACCAAAGCCUGUCAUCUUGCCACUUGUCCUCUCAAUCACUUCAAUUUUCCCAUACUGCUCAAAAUUAUCUCUUCGAUGAUGGUCUUCAGGGUCAUCUUUAGGGCCACCAACAACCUUUUUCACAGUUAAGUGGGCACCAGGUCUUUGAGAAUCUUUUGAGACUGCCCUCUUUGGUUCUACAACCCUUCCAUCCACUUUGUGUGGUCUUGUGUUCGUGGCUGCACCCACCUCCUCCACAGUGGGUUUGGGUGACAAACCCAAAGCCUUUGGGGCACUUGCUGUUUGGAUCUCUCAUAACCACACAGUCCAUGAAUGUUCCCUAUUGCUCAAAAUGGCUCCUCAGACUCAUUAGUUGUUUCAAAGCUCAAACCUUUGAUGAAGAGCUUCUUCAGCUGUUCAGGCUCUUUGGGAGACCCUGACUUAGACAAUGAUGGGGAGUGGGUGGGGAGACCAUGCUUCCUCAGGCAGCCAGUGGCAUCCGUGGGCAGAAA